RNAcentral lists this long non-coding RNA (798 nucleotides) under Physcomitrium patens. Its description in RNAcentral is "long non-coding RNA (PPAT_LNC006348)". Lineage: Eukaryota; Viridiplantae; Streptophyta; Bryopsida; Funariales; Funariaceae. The record is from RNAcentral.
GCCGACAUCCCUGACACGAAAAGAUUUGAACUCCAGGAGCUGCCAUUGAUCUCAACGCUGAAAGCAUUUAAGGAGGGGAUGUCUAACUUGACGGUGUUGUUUACUGACUGCCCCGCUGAUUCUUGGCAUCGCAUAGCCAAGCUUUGCAAGCCUGCAAAGCUCCUCCAACCACCACCACCAACGCCACCAACUUUACAGGAAAUCUGAUUGAUGUAGUCAUGACCAUGCUCACAAACCUUACCUCUCUCUGUUCGUUCUCCUGUCAUCGCAUGCUGUACGUUGGCAGCAGCCACAACAGCCCCACAAGGAUUCAGAAGUUCGUUUCUCUCUCUUUAGUCAUGGUUGCCGUAAGGAGCAGAAUUGUUAGGGUUGGGCUCGCAAGUACCUUUGCCACGGUAGAACAGAUCUAGAAGCUCCUAAGCUGGUUCAGUGCCUAGUGCAAGUGUUGAAACCCUGCGAUGACUUGGGAGUCCAGGUGAAAAUUUGUCUAUCGCGGUGGUGCUGUUGGCCAACAAAGUGGAGAUUACAGGGGCGAUGAUUGUGUUUUUAGUCAUAUUCGUCGUUGCAUUGGUUUCGAACGAAGAACAUGGAUCCUCAGCAACAGAGUUCAACGAAACUGACUAGAACUGAGCUCUCUGGUCGGUGAUGGCUGUUGGGAAAGUCUUCUACGACCAGUGCAAUCAAAAUAUAGCAUUUCCAUUCGGGCAUUCGGUAAGCAGUAGGUUCCCUAGGGUAUAAACUUGCAGCCAAUCGCUACUUUCAUCGCCGUUGAAUUGUUAGUUUCCAAAUUGUAAUACU